Alosa sapidissima (American shad) is the source of this 352-nucleotide long non-coding RNA. RefSeq lists it as uncharacterized. The transcript has 3 exons. The record is from RefSeq and is a predicted model, not a curated record. Lineage: Eukaryota; Metazoa; Chordata; Actinopteri; Clupeiformes; Clupeidae.
UGCUAUUAACUGAAGCCUACUAACCGACACUUUAAGAAGACUUCGCUCCAGUUUUUCAGUUUCCCUGUAGGUGAUCCAGACAGGCUGGGUGCUGGAGAGGGCUCUGGACUCCUAACUUCACUUCUCGUCUGUGCAGUCGACUCAGAAGCAUCACUUCAGUACUGAUUCCGUGAUCUGGAACAUUUUGAAAUCCUACCAGAUGGGGCACAAGUCAUUGAGCAGUGGCAACUUCUGACUUCAAAGACUUUGUUCACCAGCAGACCCCUUGAUUACCUUUAUUUACAGCAUUUGCAUCUGUCAGUCUUUAAAGUGAUCUAAUAUGUAUUGACUAUGUAUUAGCUUAGUACAUAUU